Molecule: small nucleolar RNA, 71 nt
Filed under: Choloepus hoffmanni (Hoffmann's two-fingered sloth)
Lineage: Eukaryota; Metazoa; Chordata; Mammalia; Pilosa; Megalonychidae
Description: Small nucleolar RNA SNORD112 (ENSCHOG00000016156.1)
Source: RNAcentral
UGGACCACUGAGGAGAUUGUGAGAUGAACCAAGGAUUAUUAUUAAUCCAAUUCUAUGCGUCGGAGGUCGUG